This is a long non-coding RNA of Oncorhynchus tshawytscha (Chinook salmon), 315 nucleotides long. The record is from Ensembl. NCBI's taxonomy places the organism in Eukaryota, Metazoa, Chordata, Actinopteri, Salmoniformes, Salmonidae.
GGGGAGGGCAGGUUUCUCUGGGGAAACAGUGGGGAGGGCAGGUUUCUCUGGGGAAACAGUGGGGAGGACAGGUUUCUCUGGGGAAACAGUGGGGAGGGCAGGUUUCUCUGGGGAAACAGUGGGGAGGGCAGGUUUCUCUGGGGAAACAGUGGGGAGGACAGGUUUCUCUGGGGAAACAGUGGGGAGGGCAGGUUUCUCUGGGGGAACAGUGGGGAGGGCAGGUUUCUCUGGGGGAACAGUGGGGAGGGCAGGUUUCUCUGGGGAAACAGUGGGGAGGGCAGGUUUCUCUGGGGAACAGUGGGGAGGGAGGGAGGG